RNAcentral lists this ribosomal RNA (530 nucleotides) under uncultured bacterium. Its description in RNAcentral is "bacterial SSU rRNA". It matches the Rfam family "Bacterial small subunit ribosomal RNA", at positions 1 to 529 of the family's 1533-position model. The record is from RNAcentral.
AUUAGAGUUUGAUCCUGGCUCAGGACGAACGCUGGCGGCGCGCUUAACACAUGCAAGUCGUACGGAGCUCUUCGGGGCUCAGUGGCGAACGGGUGCGUAACACGUGAGCAACCUGCCUGUGGGUGGGGGAUAACCCGGGGAAACCCGGGCUAAUACCGCACGAUGUCACCGGAUCGAUUGAUCGGGUGAUGAAAGGGGCUUAACGGCCUCGCCCGCAGAGGGGCUCGCGGCGUAUCAGCUAGUUGGUGGGGUAACGGCCCACCAAGGCAACGACGCGUAGCCGAUCUGAGAGGAUGAUCGGCCACAUUGGGACUGAGAUACGGCCCAGACUCCUACGGGAGGCAGCAGUGGGGAAUCUUGCGCAAUGGGCGAAAGCCUGACGCAGCGACGCCGCGUGCGGGAGGAAGCCUUUCGGGGUGUAAACCGCUGUCAGGGGGGAAGAAAGGGCGGGGGAGGAAAUGCCUCUGUUUUGACGGUACCUCCAAAGGAAGCACCGGCUAACUCUGUGCCAGCAGCCGCGGUAAUACAAU